Long non-coding RNA from Ostrea edulis (European flat oyster), 1242 nucleotides. RefSeq lists it as uncharacterized. Lineage: Eukaryota; Metazoa; Mollusca; Bivalvia; Ostreida; Ostreidae. The record is from RefSeq and is a predicted model, not a curated record. The transcript is spliced from 4 exons.
UCUCAAAUAAAGAAAUCAGUCAUUUAUUGGCUAAGACGAUGUUGAUGUGAGAGGAGCUGGAUGAUGAACAAAUUCUAAAGGUAUUUAAAGUUUGUGAACAUUUUAAAAGUUGAACAGUACAGUAGUCAUACGAAAAUCAUGUUAGUUUAUCUAAAUUUACAGUACAAGGGAGGCAUGUGUAACUUUGGAGAUAUUUUAUACGAAAAGGCAGAUAGACAAAAUUUCAGGGAGAAAACAUUUUCUUGCAGUUUAAUUGCUCAAUAACAAAAUGUACGAAGAAGAAGAAAAAAAUGAAAGGGCAAGUAAUAUCUGAGAGUAUAUUCAGUGCGAAAAGGUCAUUCAAUGGUCUUUAAUAUAUACAGAGUACUAUAGAGAUAUCAAAAUUCUUAUUGAAAAUAAAAAUGAACCAUGAAAAUUUUAGCGUAAUUUGCGCAGAAAGUUAAUGACUCAAUUUCCUCAUAUAUUCUUAAGCAAUCGUGAUGUGUUUUAGGACUCCUUGUUUUACACGAUUCUGAUUCAGUUGAAUGUUCAAACAAACGUUUGAAUAUAAGAUAUUCUUAUAACUUAACACAAGCUUGUAAAUGACCAUGAUGUUGUUUACUUUCGGCGGGACGAACCGAUUCAUGUCCAUUCAAAUUAGUAUUGUUUGUUGAGCCUUUGUGUAUGGACAUUUGAAAGUGGACCAAAGAUAUUCUGAGUUCAUCUAUUGUCUGCUGUGGAAACAGGUGCUUGCUUACCUUGAUCUGAGUCAGUAGAGUGCUUAACAGGAGCAGUAAUCGCGGAGAAAAACCUGUGUAUCUAGCAAGGUUAGUUUGUUCUGCAGGGAGUGUACACUACUAUACUUCAAACAUGAUUUUCGAAGGGUGUGGUGUCAGGUUAGGAGUCCCCGCCCUCAGUGUAACCAAAGUGUGUACCAGGUCAGUUCUAAAGACAGAGAGAAAGACAGAGAGAGAGAAAAAAGGGAAAGAGACAGAGAGAGCCUUUUUUAAUACUCAUUUAUCAGAGAUGUAACAACACAUGCACAAAAAUGCAGUUAUGUACACUUGAAUUUUUUCUUAAGAUGUUUCUUUCUCACAUUAUCACCACUGUGAGAUCAACUUUACCCAUGCGAGACAGCCAUGUGAGAUUUUUCUGUCUCCCACUGCUGUGACAUCAUUGAUUGUAACAUCAUAUAUUUUUUAUGAUUUACUUUACACGGUGAAGAUUUAUGUUACACGGUGAAGUAAAAUAUUUUCUAUUGUU